Molecule: microRNA, 21 nt
Filed under: Strongyloides ratti
Lineage: Eukaryota; Metazoa; Nematoda; Chromadorea; Rhabditida; Strongyloididae
Description: str-miR-8388-5p
Source: miRBase by way of RNAcentral
AAGCAAAAUGGGAUGCAAAUA